Long non-coding RNA from Acromyrmex echinatior (Panamanian leafcutter ant), 1333 nucleotides. RefSeq lists it as uncharacterized. NCBI's taxonomy places the organism in Eukaryota, Metazoa, Arthropoda, Insecta, Hymenoptera, Formicidae. The record is from RefSeq and is a predicted model, not a curated record.
AUGUGUGUGAUGAAUAUUUCGUAAAUCAUUUCUAAUUAAAAUUAAAGUGAUAAUUAGAACAUACAAUAUUUUAAUGAAAUGAUUAAAUCUCAAUAAGCAAUGUCUAAAACAAAGAUAUAAUCCGCUAAUUCCCGUAAGUCAUUUGUUUUUUAAUUCAUUGCGUAUCAAUAGUCAUACAUUCCACUUAACACUAUGCCUGCGUUCUACUUAACGCUCGCAAUGCUCGCAAACAUCGUUUGUCCUUGUUUAACAUCUGAUGAAUGACAAGGAUGAAACAAUUCUACGAGCGUGUGAGCGUUAAGUGAAACGUAGCCUGUAUCAUCUAGUGACAUCACGUUGGUAUCACAAGCAAAGCUAUCAGACAAAUGCCGGCGAUAUCACGUUAGUAUCGCGCACAGCAUCGAAGAAAAAUGCUAGUCACAUCAUUCGUGUUGUGUAUAAAAUUAAUUACAAGUUGUAUAAAAUAAUUAGUUGCACAACGAUCAUAUUAACAGAUUUUCAUUCGGACGUCCAAGUGUUUGACGUUUGCAACACACUCAUUUGCUGCAUAAAUAAUAGCGGUUGAAGUUACUAAUCUUGAUGAAACAGAACACAAAUUAUUCACAUUGGAAAUCAGCUGCUUAUACCCGAAGAUUCGGAAUCGUUGUCCACAGUGCAGCAGUUAAAAAUGCAUGACGAGUGAGUUGGAUAGUUAGUCGUUGGUAUCUAACGGAUAAGAACGGCAUGCAUAGGCAACGGAUAUGUGCGUGCAUGAAGAUAUAGACAGGGAAAUAUUCGACGUAAUGGUCCUCGGAUAAUUGUUGUACCAAAGUAGAUCAUGGCGAACGCGACACGCAAGAGGCACCAAGAAGAAGAGAAGAAUAGUAUCAUCUACUUGUGAUAAAUAGGAAAUUACAGGCUGGCUGGUGGCCCUCGGGUACAUCAUGUAACUCUCAUUCUCUCACGACAGCAAUGAAAAUUCUUUUUUUUCUUUUAAGGAUGAAUAUAUUGGAGGAAUCUAAGGACAACGAAGACGACGACGAUAACAACGAGACAACAAAAAGGCUAUGCUGGAGUACAUCUUUUUCUCUCUUUUUUUAAUUCGGUCGCAAAUGACCGCUGCAGCAGCGAACGGCGGCAGCAACAGCAAUAAAUAUAUAGCAAACAAAAAAGAAGAAACAGGCAUCAAGCCAGCCAACAACAUCAAAAACGACUGCGCGUACCAACAAUCCGAGAGAGAGAAAGAGAGAGAGAGAGAGAUAUCGCAACUGUGAUCAACCCUCUUAUUUACUCUCUUUCUCUGUUUGUCUCUCUCCCUUUGCCUUUCUGCCUCGUUUCUUCGACUCGUUCACAA